AUGGCCACAUCGCGUUGAAACAUCGGUUCCCGUACGAUCACCGAAGUUAAGCAACCUGGAGUCUUGUCAGUACCAAAAUGGGUGACUGCUUGGGAACCUAGGUGCUAUA
Acanthosepion pharaonis is the source of this 109-nucleotide non-coding RNA. The record is from the annotation of a GenBank genome assembly. NCBI's taxonomy places the organism in Eukaryota, Metazoa, Mollusca, Cephalopoda, Sepiida, Sepiidae.